This 556-nucleotide long non-coding RNA is filed under the name Lepisosteus oculatus (spotted gar). RNAcentral describes it as "lncRNA (ENSLOCG00000021056.1)". Lineage: Eukaryota; Metazoa; Chordata; Actinopteri; Semionotiformes; Lepisosteidae. The record is from RNAcentral.
CAAAGUUUAAAAACCGACUGAGACAGUUACUUAUGGGAAAGCUGAACCCUUGACUUAACUGAACCCUUGGCCACUCGCUCUUAUCAUGGAGUUAGUGUGCUCUGGACAUCACUUUGCCUCCACUGACAUUCCAGGACCUAAACAUUCUAUUUCACUUUAUGCUGAUGAACAUUGGGUUUAUUUCUGAUAUUGUUGGCUCAGUUCCCCAUUGACUUUUUUGUCUUCUGCCUCAGUGAAACAGCUGUACCCACUCAUGUUUUUUUCAGCACUGUUCUCAGGCUGUUUACUGAUUCAGGCAUUAAUGUUCCCACCUCCAGCAAAUUCGGAACAUGUCUGAUCCUCUUAAGAAAAUCAAAGCAGGUCCUCUUUGAUCCUGUUUACAGGUCUCCCCACAUGGUGUAAUCGGAGGGGUAGGACAUUGCCUGGGGCUCCUGAACAGAAACAUCUGAAGACACCACUGCUCCAGAGGCUCCGGGGGAGGCUCAAUCUUUAAAAGGUGACUUUAGAGUUAAACUGAUCUUCCAGAGAGAUCCAGUUAGAAAAAACAUUUUCAAAA